RNAcentral lists this ribosomal RNA (484 nucleotides) under uncultured bacterium. RNAcentral's name for it is "partial 16S ribosomal RNA". It matches the Rfam family "Bacterial small subunit ribosomal RNA", at positions 29 to 523 of the family's 1533-position model. The record is from RNAcentral.
AUUGAACGCUGGCGGCAUGCCUUACACAUGCAAGUCGAACGAUGAACCCGGAGCUUGCUCCGGUGGAUUAGUGGCGAACGGGUGAGUAACACGUGAGUAACCUGCCCUUGACUCUGGGAUAACUGCGGGAAACUGUAGCUAAUACCGGAUACGACCCUCGGCGGCAUCGCCAGGGGGUGGAAAGAAUUUCGGUCAAGGAUGGACUCGCGGCCUAUCAGCUAGUUGGUGAGGUAACGGCUCACCAAGGCGACGACGGGUAGCCGGCCUGAGAGGGUGACCGGCCACACUGGGACUGAGACACGGCCCAGACUCCUACGGGAGGCAGCAGUGGGGAAUAUUGCACAAUGGGCGCAAGCCUGAUGCAACAACGCCGCGUGAGGGAUGACGGCCUUCGGGUUGUAAACCUCUUUUAGUAGGGAAGAAGCGAAAGUGACGGUACCUGCAGAAAAAGCACCGGCUAACUACGUGCCAGCCGCCGCCGUAA